GACGGGGGAGAAGCCCGUCCACCGAUUGACUAAGGGUUCGAGAGGAAGGCUGGUGCGCUCUGGGUUUGUCGUGUCCUAAGCUGAGGCCGCCAGGAGUAGGCGAUGGAUAACAGGUUGAAAGGCCUGUACCACCCACAAUCGUUUUAAGGGAUGGGGGGGCGCAGUAGAAUUGGUAAAGCGUGCUGUUGGAGUGAACGGCCAAGCAGUGAGACUGAGUGUUAGGCAAAUUCGACACUCGAAAAGUCAAGCUGUGAUGGGGAGAGGAAAUAGUUUCCUUGAGUCGUUGAUUUCACACUGCCGAGAAAAGCCCCUAGCUAGAAAGUUGGUGCCCGUACCGCAUACCGACACAGGGAGUCAAGAUGAGAAUUCUAAGGUGAGCGAGCGAACUCUCGUUAUGGAACUCGGCAAAAUGACCCCGUAACUUCGGGAGAAGGGGUGCUCUUUAGGGUUCACGCUCUGAAGAGCCGCAGUGAAUAGGCCCAAUCGCCUGUUUAUCAA
RNAcentral lists this ribosomal RNA (498 nucleotides) under Staphylococcus felis. Its description in RNAcentral is "bacterial LSU rRNA". It matches the Rfam family "Bacterial large subunit ribosomal RNA", at positions 1316 to 1810 of the family's 2925-position model. The record is from RNAcentral. Lineage: Bacteria; Bacillati; Bacillota; Bacilli; Caryophanales; Staphylococcaceae.